GAGCCAAUGAAAGCACGGGCUCCUCUUUUGUCUUUGUCUUUCGGCUUCUCCUUGCUGAUCCUACCAGUAAUGGGCAAAGUGCUGUCUCUGGGAAAGAGACCUUUAAUCGUCACCUGAACAUGGCUGAUAGCAAUGGUCUUUUUAUCUAAUGAAUUUAAUAUCCAAGCAUCAUCAAUCUGAUUGAUUUCACCAACAAACUCUGAGGAAACAGCAUCUAUUAUAUCUAGGAAAUCCUGUAUUUCCCUUUCCUUGACAUCCAACAUUUCCUGAAUCUCCAUGCUUUGGAACUGGCUUCGGGUUUCACUCUGCAAUAACAAAGAUGGUAAAGUUACAGCUUCAAGAUGAUGACAUAUCCAGAGGAUAAGAAUGGCUGUUUUUACACAUAAGGCCUCUCUGUAUUUUAUUAAUAGUGGUAGUUUAUUAUUAUGUAUUAUUAUUAUCUGUAAUUUAAUCUGUCAAUAAUGCAAAUACAAAAACUACAUUGGCUAGAAUGUA
This is a long non-coding RNA of Hemicordylus capensis (graceful crag lizard), 495 nucleotides long. RefSeq lists it as uncharacterized. The record is from RefSeq and is a predicted model, not a curated record. The transcript is spliced from 2 exons. Lineage: Eukaryota; Metazoa; Chordata; Lepidosauria; Squamata; Cordylidae.